RNAcentral lists this ribosomal RNA (460 nucleotides) under uncultured bacterium. RNAcentral describes it as "partial 16S ribosomal RNA". It matches the Rfam family "Bacterial small subunit ribosomal RNA", at positions 338 to 795 of the family's 1533-position model. The record is from RNAcentral.
CCUACGGGAGGCAGCAGUGAGGAAUAUUGGUCAAUGGGCGCUAGCCUGAACCAGCCAAGUAGCGUGAAGGAUGACUGCCCUAUGGGUUGUAAACUUCUUUUAUAUGGGAAUAAAGUGCAGGAUGGAUACUGCGUUGCAUGUACCUUAAGAACAAGGAUCGGCCAACGCCGUGCCAGCAGCCGCGGGAAUACGGAGGAUGCGAGCGUUAUCCGGAGUUAUUGGGUUUAAAGGGAGCGUAGGCGGGUGGUUAAGUCAGUGGUGAAAGUUUGGGGCUCAACAGUAAAAUUGCAGUUGAUACUGGCAUCCUUGAGUACAGUAGAGGUAGGCGGAAUUCGUGGUGUAGCGGUGAAAUGCUUAGAUAUCACGAAGAACUCCGAUUGCGAAGGCAGCCUGCUGGACUGUAACUGACGCUGAUGCUCGAAAGUGUGGGUAUCAAACAGGAUUAGAUACCCGUGUAGUC